Molecule: ribosomal RNA, 253 nt
Filed under: uncultured bacterium
Lineage: Bacteria
Description: partial 16S ribosomal RNA
Rfam family: Bacterial small subunit ribosomal RNA
Source: RNAcentral
GACGUAGGGCGCGAGCGUUGUCCGGAUUUAUUGGGCGUAAAGAGCUCGUAGGCGGCUUGUCGCGUCGAACGUGAAAACUCGGGGCUCAACUCCGAGCUUGCAUUCGAUACGGGCAGGCUAGAGUUCGGUAGGGGAGACUGGAAUUCCUGGUGUAGCGGUGAAAUGCGCAGAUAUCAGGAGGAACACCGGUGGCGAAGGCGGGUCUCUGGGCCGAUACUGACGCUGAGGAGCGAAAGCGUGGGGAGCGAACAGG